This 444-nucleotide ribosomal RNA is filed under the name uncultured bacterium. Its description in RNAcentral is "bacterial SSU rRNA". It matches the Rfam family "Bacterial small subunit ribosomal RNA", at positions 8 to 453 of the family's 1533-position model. The record is from RNAcentral.
AGAGUUUGAUCCUGGCUCAGAAUGAACGCUGGCGGCGUGCCUAACACAUGCAAGUCGGAUGUGCCGCAAGGUGCGUGGCAGACGGGUGAGUAACGCGUAGGGAAUCUACCUCUUUGUGGGGAAUAACGCUCCGAAAGGAGUGGUAAUACCGCAUGAGACCGAGUGCUGGGAUGCAUUCGGUGAAACCUGGGGACCGCAAGGCCUGGGGCAAGGAGAGGAUCCUGCGUCUGAUUAGCUAGUUGGCGGGGUAAUGGCCCACCAAGGCGACGAUCAGUAGCCGGCCUGAGAGGGUGAUCGGCCACACUGGAACUGAGACACGGUCCAGACUCCUACGGGAGGCAGCAGUGGGGAAUUUUGCGCAAUGGACGAAAGUCUGACGCAGCAACGCCGCGUGGGUGAUGAAGGUCUUCGGACUGUAAAACCCUGUCGUCAGGGACGAAGGUG